GUUUCGUGUGGUCGUUUUUUUUUUUUUUUUUUUUUUUUUUUUUGGCUGUCUGGCUCUCUCUUGCGAAUUUGGUGUGGUUCGGAU
Molecule: non-coding RNA, 84 nt
Filed under: Compsopogon caeruleus
Lineage: Eukaryota; Rhodophyta; Compsopogonophyceae; Compsopogonales; Compsopogonaceae
Source: RNAcentral